UACCUACGGGACGCAGCAGUGAGGAAUAUUGGUCAAUGGGCGCGAGCCUGAACCAGCCAAGUAGCGUGAAGGAUGACUGCCCUAUGGGUUGUAAACCUCUUUUGUCAGGGAGCAACGCCGGCUACGUGUAGCCGGACUGAGAGUACCUGAAGAAAAAGCAUCGGCUAACUCCGUGCCAGCAGCCGCGGUAAUACGGAGGAUGCGAGCGUUAUCCGGAUUUAUUGGGUUUAAAGGGUGCGUAGGCGGAAUGCCAAGUCAGCGGUAAAAUCGCGGGGCUCAACCUCGCUCCGCCGUUGAAACUGGCG
RNAcentral lists this ribosomal RNA (305 nucleotides) under uncultured bacterium. RNAcentral describes it as "bacterial SSU rRNA". It matches the Rfam family "Bacterial small subunit ribosomal RNA", at positions 335 to 638 of the family's 1533-position model. The record is from RNAcentral.